GAUGAACGCUGGCGGCGUGCCUUAUACAUGCAAGUCGAGCGAACAGACGAGGAGCUUUCUUCUCUGACGUUAGCGGCGGACGGGUGAGUAACACGUGGAUAACCUACCUAUAAGACUGGGAUAACUUCGGGAAACCGGAGCUAAUACCGGAUAAUAUAUUGAACCGCAUGGUUCAAUAGUGAAAGACGGUUUUGCUGUCACUUAUAGAUGGAUCCGCGCCGGAUUAGCUAGUUGGUAAGGUAACGGCCUACCAAGGCGACGAUGCGUAGCCGACCUGAGAGGAUGAUCGGCCACACUGGAACUGAGACACGGUCCAGACUCCUACGGGAGGCAGCAGUAGGGAAUCUUCGGCAAUGGGGGAAAGCCUGACGGAGCAACGCCGCGUGAGUGAUGAAGGCCUUCGGGUCGUAAAGCUCUGUUAGUAGGGAAGAACAAAUGUGUAAGAAUCUAUGCACGUCUUGACGGUACCUAAACAGAAAGCCACGGCUAACUACGUG
RNAcentral lists this ribosomal RNA (497 nucleotides) under uncultured bacterium. RNAcentral's name for it is "partial 16S ribosomal RNA". It matches the Rfam family "Bacterial small subunit ribosomal RNA", at positions 28 to 507 of the family's 1533-position model. The record is from RNAcentral.